GAUGAAGAACGUAGCGAAAUGCGAUAAGUAAUGUGAAUUACAGAAUUCAGUGAAUCAUCGAAUCUUUGAACGCACAUUGCGCCCGCCAGUAUUCUGGCGGGCAUGCCUGUUCGAGCGUCAUUUCAACCAUCAAGCCCCCGGCUUGUGUUGGGGACCUGCGGCUGCCGCAGGCCCUGAAAACCAGUGGCGGGCUCGCUAGUCACUCCGAGCGUAGUAAUACAUCUCGCUCAGGGCGUGCUGCGGGUUCCGGCCGUUAAAAAGCCUUAUUUACCCAAGGUUGACCUCGGAUCAGGUAGGAAGACCCGCUGAACUUAAGCAUAUCAAUAAGCGGAGGA
This 335-nucleotide unclassified non-coding RNA is filed under the name soil metagenome. RNAcentral describes it as "partial contains 5.8S ribosomal RNA, internal transcribed spacer 2, and large subunit ribosomal RNA". The stretch from base 1 to 120 matches the Rfam family "5.8S ribosomal RNA", at positions 35 to 154 of the family's 154-position model. The record is from RNAcentral.